RNAcentral lists this long non-coding RNA (2060 nucleotides) under Fragaria vesca (wild strawberry). Its description in RNAcentral is "long non-coding RNA (FVES_LNC001018)". The record is from RNAcentral. Lineage: Eukaryota; Viridiplantae; Streptophyta; Magnoliopsida; Rosales; Rosaceae.
UGAGUUGUUACAUGUUUGUUGAUAACUUUGUAAGUCUAGGAGGACCGUGAUUGAAGAGUAGAGUUGAAAUAUUAUAGUAACAGUAAUGUUCACAUUGUCACCUAGUGACUAAAGAAAUUAUGGUCAAUCAUCGUUAAAGUAAAUCUAAACGUGAGAAGUAUCAUUUUAAAGGGAAAAUGCCUAUUUAGUAUUAAUUCAAACCCCUUAUUUCUCAUUCUAAUGAUAAUCUUUUGCAUUAGCCCAUUCCAAUAUAAGGUAACCAUUUUUAUGCCCAAAUGCACAAAUCUUUACUAAAAUCUUAACAAACCAUAUUAUUUUAAGACUAUUUUGCCCCCACCUCUUCAACAUGAAAAGACUUGGCCGGAACCUCGGACUCCUGUCACCGGCCGCCGGACACCGGACUCCGGUCACCGACCGCCGGAUUCCGGUCACCGGAAUUUCCCCAACCGCCGGAUUCCGGUCACUGAAAUUUCCCCAACCGCCGGAUUUCGGUCACCGGAUUUUCCUCUGUAACCAGUUACUGACCCCCAAUAAUCAGUUACUGACCAGUUAAUGACCCAUAAUAACUAGUUACUAACCCCCAGUAACCAGUUACUGACCCCCAAUAACUUUUAGUUUUCAGUUACUGACACCCAGUAAUCACUUAGUUUUCAGUUACUGACCCCUAAUAAUUUUGGUUACUGACCGGAGAGGAGAGAACUGAGGAACCGGCCCGACGGUGAGCACCCACAUUUCUUCUCUGGGCACCCACCUUCCCCGACGGUGAGCACACCGGCCUCCUCCACCGACCCCGGCGCACGCCGGCAAGCAACGACCUUCCAGGGGAGUAGGAGAAGCGGUGAGGCAGCUUAGAGUUGGUUUCCAGGGCUGUGCGGUUGCGGGUGAUUUUGCGGAAGCAGACGAGGAGGAAGAGGAGGAGGGAGAAGGCGGUGGUGGCGGCGCCGGCGAGUGGGACGACGAGGUUGGGCUGCGGCAGAAGAGACGACGGCGACGGCGCCGGGGACCGGGUGAUUGGGCGCUGCAGAAGGUGGAUCGGGAAGAGAAGGUGGCCGGAGUUGCGGAAGCAUUCGAGGAGGAAGAAGAGGAGGGAGAAGGCGGUGGUGGCAGCGCUGGCGAGUGGGACGACGAGGUUGGGCUGCGACAGAAGAGACGACGGAGACGACGCCAGGGACCGGGUGAUUAGGCGCGGUAGAAGGUGGAUCGGGAAGAGAAGGUGGUCGGAGGAGAUGAAGUAGCGGUGCUUGUGUGGGCAGCUAGCGUCGGAGGAGGAGGAGGAAGAGGAGGAGGAGGAGGAGAGAGAGAGAGAGAGAGAGAGAGAGAGAGAGAGAGAGAGAGAGAGAGAGAGAGUAGAGAGAGAGAGAGAGAGNNNNNNNNNNNNNNNNNNNNAGAGAGAGAGAGAUAAGAAGAAGAAGAAGAAGAAGAAGAAGAAGAAAGAGAUAAAAACUGUGUGGAUUUAAUUAAACACAGGGUAAUAACGUCUUUUUCUCAAGAAUCAUUGGAAUGGGCACAAGGAUAAGACUUUAAUUGAAAUGGGUUUUAGUUUUUAAAUAUUUAGGCAUUAGGGCAUUUUCCCUAUUUUAAAAACAAGUUGUUUUAUUUUCUACCUUUAAAUUUAUAUCCAAUAAUGAUUGAUCAUGAUUUUCUUAGUCACUAGAUGAUCAUGUGAACACCAUGCAUCAUAGUAAAUACCCGGCUCAUUUUACUUCACUGUGUUAUCUCUCGACGUCCUAGUCACAUCAAGUGCUUUCAUUCUAUUGAGCAACUAUGCAUCUUGUUUUUGUUGAAUACUGGCAACACAAGUUACACAAAUAGGAUCGUCUAUCAGCAACAACCGAUUUUAUUACGGGACAGCUCAUGAUGUUCAUAUCGAUCUAUUAUGCGCCUUUGGGAUAAGGGCAAUGAAGAUAUGAUUGAGAUCCUACUAGUCCUUUAUGUUCUAGUAGGAAAAGUUUUAGUCUGCGUUGGUGAAUGGAAGCCCGGAGUUGCUCCACGUAUUGCUUGACGGUUCGCAAUAUUUUUUCCAUGACAUUUAAGAUUGCAUUUUGAUGUAACCGUACUCG